ACGGCCUUCAUGUCGAAAAUGGUCUGAGAAAACAACGACGUCAUGUGCCGCACGCCGUCGCCUCCUCACCUAGGCGGCUGCCCAAUCGUGUCCCACCGUCGCUCACGGCUUCUCCACUCGGUCCCUAUUUCAGCAAGCUAUCUCCUCUCCUUUCAAUCUGUGUGUGCAUCGAGUGCCUUGAUAUAUUUUGGAGAAAUUGGUGG
This is a long non-coding RNA of Carya illinoinensis, 203 nucleotides long. RefSeq lists it as uncharacterized. The record is from RefSeq and is a predicted model, not a curated record. Lineage: Eukaryota; Viridiplantae; Streptophyta; Magnoliopsida; Fagales; Juglandaceae. The transcript has 3 exons.